Long non-coding RNA from Echinops telfairi (small Madagascar hedgehog), 367 nucleotides. RefSeq lists it as uncharacterized. Lineage: Eukaryota; Metazoa; Chordata; Mammalia; Afrosoricida; Tenrecidae. The record is from RefSeq and is a predicted model, not a curated record. The transcript is spliced from 2 exons.
GCGAACAGCCCAGAAGAACAUCUCCAAGAGACGGAUUCCUGGACUCUGAGACAACAAUACUCUCAGUGCAAUGAAGCCAAGACAGUCUCCCUCGAUAAGGACGGACCUGACAUCAGAACCCCUUGGAAGCUGCAUUACAAGUUGCACUUUAAGGACCUGAGGGAAGGUCUUCUCAAGUUGAGAAGCUGUAAGAAAGUUCAGCUGACAAAGGAAGAAGCAGACUCCACAUCAGAAUGUUGCUUCUGUGAUGGGGGUGGGGGUCAAGGCCAACUGAGAAUAUUUAUAUAGUAUAAGAUGGCAGGGCAAAAGACAUUACUAUGUAAACCCGCAUUUAUAAAUAAACUCUCACGCACAGAUUUUGACCUGA